RNAcentral lists this long non-coding RNA (624 nucleotides) under Gossypium barbadense (sea-island cotton). RNAcentral's name for it is "long non-coding RNA (GBAR_LNC008251)". The record is from RNAcentral. Lineage: Eukaryota; Viridiplantae; Streptophyta; Magnoliopsida; Malvales; Malvaceae.
AACAGUGAAGUGCAUUGUUAGGAGUAAGUUUCAAACCUGAAACGUUCAUUCCAGGCCUUGUUAUUCGUUUCAUAUAGGGGUUAUUUGUGGAUUUGUCAAAACCCACUAAAACCCUUUCCAAGAAGAAGAAUUUCCUACCUGGAAAGCUUCAAGAACUAGACUUUAACAAGUCCUUAAAACGGUAUGUUUUAUUUUUUUGGCUUCUUUUUUUAAGCAAUUAAAGCAAUCAAAAGAGCAAAGACCCAAUUCAAACCAGACAUAAUCAACAAAGAAGAGUAGGAUAAAAAUCAAAGACAAUCAAUAGAGAAAAGUAGGGGGGAUUUAGUGACUUGGUGGUGGUGGACGUCGGACGGUAAUGAAUGUUUCGGGCUGUCGGGUUAGGGCGUCACUCGAAGAUGAUGGUGACUGGACGGCGGUGAGUGAAGGUGAACUCGAAGCCGGUGAUUGUCGUUAGAAGGGAUUUUGGGAGAUUUCGGAGGAUUUUCAAUUUGGGGAGAUGGGAUUAGAGAUUUAGGGUUAUUGGGUUUAGGGAUUUGAAUUUCAGAUAAUUUUUAGUUUAGGGUUACUACAAUGUUUAGUUCAAAGGGCGGUUGCCUGUAGAUAUUUUUUUUUUUUUGCUUUGAG